AACUGAUACUACCUGCGGGAACCUGCGGAGGGAUCAUUAUCAAUUUACAGCGGACUUCGGUCCUGUCUGCACCCUUGUCUUUUGCGUACUAUAUGUUUCCUCGGUGGGCUUGCCUGCCGAUAGGACACUUAUAAACUCUUUUGUAAUUGCAAUCAGCGUCAGAAAACUAUAAUAGUUACAACUUUCAACAACGGAUCUCU
Molecule: unclassified non-coding RNA, 200 nt
Filed under: soil metagenome
Description: partial contains 5.8S ribosomal RNA, internal transcribed spacer 2, and large subunit ribosomal RNA
Source: RNAcentral